UGUUAUGUACCCUGUGCUCCCUUUCUUCUUCAUCUUCUCUUCCCUUGUGAUGGCUGGAUUGUGAGCUGGAUGGAUGAAGUCAAAGCAGCUGUCCUAAAGUAUGAGGUGGAAGCCACAUGUUAAGAAUGGUAGAAUAAUAAAAGUUUAGGCUUCACCCUACCAGCCUUGGACUGUAAAAUUCUGGAUUCUGUUAUAUGACAAACAGACCUGAACCACUAUUAUUUUAGUGUUUUUUUGGUCUCUCAAGGUUCAUAUAAACCUUAACUGAUAUAAGAUCACAUGGCCAGUUACUAACAGCACUGAACUUUCCGCUCAAUUGUCUUGACUCCAGAUGCAGUUGUUUUUAUUUUACCCCACAAUGACUGGCACUUCCAAUGCCUCACUUUCAGGGCUUCUGUGAGGAUAAAAUGAGGAAACAGAACCUUACAGGAAAGGAGAUUCUGGGAUACUCGGUUGCUGCUUCGGUAAAUUGACACGAUAGAAAUCACCAUGGUGCCUGUCUUGCUCUGGAUUCUUUGAAAUGGAAACUGGAGAAAUCCCUCAAUAUCUAUUUUUCUCUUUCAUCUGUACCAACUGAGGCCUGAUUUUGUUCAGAGAGGUUUUCCUCAUUAUGACUAUGGCAGACCAGACUCAACAGGUACAUUGGGAGCAGGCCACUUAAGGAUGAGCAAAUUGAGCUGCAUUUAGGAUUUGUGCAUCCUAACAUCUUAAAAUGUUUUUCUAACAUUUUGGGUUUGGCAUAGCAAAGUGUGCCAAGAUUCCUUUCCUUUCAUUUUUAAACCCACAUGUAUUUUCAGGGAAAUUAAGCUCAUAUGUUUCUGAUUCAUUUACUGUAUAACUCAUCAAAAUAUUGUUUUAUAACAGUUCUUGGCAGUCCAUGAAACCUUUUAAAAUAUAGACUUUUCCCCUCUUGCUACCAAGGAAGCCAUGCUUUACUGAGAGCACAGCACCAAUUAACUCUGAAGGGUUUUCCAAAUAAGCUUCACAUGGAUGCUAAAGACCUAAUUGGGUUUUCUGUGAUCAACAAGAAUGCAAGUCAACAAAUACCGAUUGAACAUACACUAUGUAUUGGAUUUUAGGGGAUGUAGAGUGAUACAGAUAAAUGGGAAGUGACUCCCACGAUUUAAAUAGCUGCCAUGAUGGAGACAGAUAAAUGGCAGCCAAAACAUUUAUUGAGCACUUUGAAUAUGCCUGCUACUGGGUGAAGUCUUUUAUAAACAUUACUUCAUGUUAUCUUCUUGACCAAUUUAUGUAUUAUUAUCCUUAUUUUAUAUAUAAGAAAACUGACACCUAGAGAGUUUACUGAGUCAAGUCAUAUAGUUGGUUAGCAGUGGAUUUAAGACUAAAUCUCUAGCAGUUUCAUUGCAGAGACCAGUCUUUUAACAUUAUUAUAAAACUUGGAAAUUAAGAUAUAGUGAGACUAAGCUAAUGCCCAGCUUUUUGGAGGUAGAGAUGGAACUUCAUUAAUGUCAUAUAAUUUAUUUCUGUUUAAACUUUAUUUCUGACCACAGGACUAUUUCCUUCUGGUCACUCUGCUUGCAUUUUGGACAUUCUUUGGAAAAGGUCAUGAUUGUGCAGUAAAAAGUCUUAUUAAUGCCCUUUGGGUAGCUUAUCUGAGAUGUUGAAUACAUGAAUGAGUGUUCCUUCUCAUAGAGUGGAGCUAUCUCAGAAAAACUCUGUCAUGUUUGCACUACAACCAACCAUCUCUGUACUAUGCUUUCUAUGACUUACUUUUUAUGUGAGAAUAUCAUUAAUUUUAUUGAUAAUAAAA
Canis lupus familiaris (dog) is the source of this 1771-nucleotide long non-coding RNA. RefSeq lists it as uncharacterized. The transcript has 3 exons. The record is from RefSeq and is a predicted model, not a curated record. Lineage: Eukaryota; Metazoa; Chordata; Mammalia; Carnivora; Canidae.